UACGUAGGUGGCGAGCGUUGUCCGGAAUUACUGGGUGUAAAGGGCGUGUAGGCGGGGGCUCAAGUCGGAUGUGAAAUACCGUGGCUCAACCACGGGGCUGCAUCCGAAACUGUGCCUCUUGAGUACCGGAGAGGAAAGUGGAAUUCCCAGUGUAGCGGUGAAAUGCGUAGAUAUUGGGAGGAACACCAGUGGCGAAGGCGGCUCUCUGGACGGGUACUGACGCUGAGGUGCGAAAGCGUGGGGAGCAAACAGG
Molecule: ribosomal RNA, 253 nt
Filed under: uncultured bacterium
Lineage: Bacteria
Description: partial 16S ribosomal RNA
Rfam family: Bacterial small subunit ribosomal RNA
Source: RNAcentral